CUACGUGCCAGCAGCCGCGGUAAUACGUAUGUCACGAGCGUUAUCCGGAUUUAUUGGGCGUAAAGCGCGUCUAGGUGGUUAUGUAAGUCUGAUGUGAAAAUGCAGGGCUCAACUCUGUAUUGCGUUGGAAACUGUAUAACUAGAGUACUGGAGAGGUAAGCGGAACUACAAGUGUAGAGGUGAAAUUCGUAGAUAUUUGUAGGAAUGCCGAUGGGGAAGCCAGCUUACUGGACAGAUACUGACGCUGAAGCGCGAAAGCGUGGGUAGCAAACAGGAUUAGAUACCCUGGUAGUCCACGCUGUAAACGAUGAUUACUAGGUGUUGGGGGUCGAACCUCAGCGCCCAAGCAAACGCGAUAAGUAAUCCGCCUGGGGAGUACGUACGCAAGUAUGAAACUCAAAGGAAUUGACGGGGACCCGCACAAGCGGUGGAGCAUGUGGUUUAAUUCGACGCAACGCGAGGAACCUUACCAGCGUUUGACAUC
RNAcentral lists this ribosomal RNA (484 nucleotides) under uncultured bacterium. RNAcentral's name for it is "bacterial SSU rRNA". It matches the Rfam family "Bacterial small subunit ribosomal RNA", at positions 501 to 988 of the family's 1533-position model. The record is from RNAcentral.